RNAcentral lists this transfer RNA (55 nucleotides) under Strigamia maritima. The record is from Rfam by way of RNAcentral. Lineage: Eukaryota; Metazoa; Arthropoda; Chilopoda; Geophilomorpha; Linotaeniidae.
GCGAUGGUAGCUGUCUUCCAAGCAGUUGAUCCGGAUUCGAUUCCCGGCCAUCGCA